GAGGUUGAUCUCUGUCUGCUCCACUCUGAUGUUGGUGGGAGUGAUUCACGUGGCUUCAUCUGGCUCGGACCUCUGCCGGAACUGAAGCAUUCUCUCUCACAUGGAGGACAGCUGGACCUCUCUUUCUCUCCACCUCUUUCCCUCUGGCUCCCUUUACACGUUGGCUCAGGAAUCCAGAAAAGGAAAGCUGAUGGUUUGCCAAAAGAAAAUGAAUUCCAAACUCUUGGGUCUGAACUGGGUUCAAGCAUCAGAUCCAGGGGAGCCCGGGGGAGGCUGCUUAGUCAGUCAGGAUGCUUGAAUGUCCUCUGCAGAAGCCAGGUGAGUCCAAGCAAAGUGGGGCACCUCCCCCGCUUUCCUUUCUCGCGUGUGUUCAUGUGUGUGCACAUUUGUGCAUUCUACCACCCACUCUUCUACCCUAGAAACUGAAUAAUAGAGACCAUGUAUAAGUACUUCCUGGGAUCCAGGCUCUGUGCCUAGAUUUAUUUAUUUAUUUAUUUAUUUAUUUUUGAGAUGGAGUCUCACUCCGUGGCCCAGGCUGGAGUACAGUGGAGGGAUCGGCACUCACUGCGACCUCCGCCUCCGAGGUUGAAGCAAUUCUCCUGCUUUAGCCUCCCAAGUAGCUGGGAUUACAGCUGCCUGCCGUCACGCACACCCGGCUAAUUUUGUAUUUUUAGUAGCGACGGGGUUUCUCCAUGUUGGCCUGGUUGGUCUCAAACUCCUGACCUUAAGUGAACUGCACACCUCAGCCUCCCAAAAUGCUGGGAUUAUAGGUGUGAGCCACUGUUCCUGGCCUGUGCCUUGAUUUAUGAUCUAUAUGCUUUAUGUAAAUUCGAGGGUUUUUAUAAUCACCCUUUAAGGGAGGUGCCCCUUCCCCUCUUCCCUCCCUUCUUUCUUUUAUUCUUUCUUUCAUUCAUCAAAUAUUUCUUGGGUGUUUACUAUGUGUCAGGCACUAUUCUAGGGUCUGGUGACACAGUGGUAAACAAGACAAAAGCUUACAUUCUGAUUCGCGUGCAAUUAAGCCAAUGAGUAGGACAGCUUCAAGCAGUAAUCAGUGUUACUUAGAAAAUAAGAGGAAGGUGGCAGACAGCUUGUGCUCUGUUCAAUUGAGAUGAGUGGUCAGGGAAGGCCGGCUGAGCUGAUUGCCGAAUGACAUCAAGGAUUCAGCUGCAAAGAUACAGGAGCUAGCUCUCCUGCGGAAGGAAUAGCAGGGGCAGACCGGGAGCACCUGGGGCACGUGCAGGGGGC
Molecule: long non-coding RNA, 1245 nt
Filed under: Callithrix jacchus (white-tufted-ear marmoset)
Lineage: Eukaryota; Metazoa; Chordata; Mammalia; Primates; Cebidae
Description: lncRNA (ENSCJAG00000078752.1)
Source: RNAcentral